This 266-nucleotide signal recognition particle RNA is filed under the name Candidatus Zhuqueibacterota bacterium. Its description in RNAcentral is "candidate division KSB1 bacterium signal recognition particle sRNA large type". It matches the Rfam family "Bacterial large signal recognition particle RNA". From Rfam's summary of the family: The signal recognition particle (SRP) is a universally conserved ribonucleoprotein involved in the co-translational targeting of proteins to membranes. Archaeal SRP consists of a 7S RNA and homologues of the eukaryotic SRP19 and SRP54 proteins. Lineage: Bacteria; Pseudomonadati. The record is from RNAcentral.
CUGUGCUAGGCGGGGAGUUAGCGGUGCCCUGAACCUGCAAUCCGCUAUAGCAGGGCCGAAUUCCCACCCGAGGCCUGUGCGGUCUCAGGCUGGCCGUAGCAGGCAGCGUUGAAGGUCCAAGCCCCGCGCAAUAGGAACGUGCCCAACCCCGUCAGGACCGGAAGGUAGCAGCGGUAAGCAUAGUUUCUAUGUGCCGCGGGAUUCCUUGGCCGGAGCUGAAUGCGAAAGCCAGUUGAGAUGCGGCCGGGUCGACGGUGGGUGCACAG